This 253-nucleotide ribosomal RNA is filed under the name uncultured bacterium. RNAcentral describes it as "partial 16S ribosomal RNA". It matches the Rfam family "Bacterial small subunit ribosomal RNA", at positions 524 to 776 of the family's 1533-position model. The record is from RNAcentral.
GACGGAGGGCGCAAGCGUUGUCCGGAAUUAUUGGGCGUAAAGCGCGCGCAGGCGGUCCUUUAAGUCUGAUGUGAAAGCCCACGGCUCAACCGUGGAGGGUCAUUGGAAACUGGGGGACUUGAGUACAGAAGAGGAAAGCGGAAUUCCACGUGUAGCGGUGAAAUGCGUAGAGAUGUGGAGGAACACCAGUGGCGAAGGCGGCUUUCUGGUCUGUAACUGACGCUGAGGCGCGAAAGCGUGGGGAGCAAACAGG